AAAAACUUAUUUUUAUCAUUAUUAUUCAUGACGGCGAUGUUCAUUUUGUUCAACCGCUAGCUUUAUACAGAAAAUCGCCGACAAAUAUUGUAUAAAUUCGAGUAAAAUCGUAUCUGAUUGACAAAAACAACAUUGUAAACACAUAACAAUGGCGGCCGUGAAGACAAAAUUUUACAAAAUCGGAUCCGAUUCCGGAAGCGGAUAAGGGUAAUUCCGGGUUUGGCGAUCAUUUACAAAAUAAAUCCAAGCAGGUGAAAAAAUACAUCUAUGCAUGGUAAAUGAAUAUAAACACUAGUAUUGUAAACCAAAAGAUAUAUGUAAAAGAAAGAAAAAGCAGAAAAAUAUUUUAUUCAGAAACUCAAAAUUACUUUUUGACAAAUUUUAAUUUAAAAAUCCAAUACAACGUGACAGCUGGGAACAGUAUAUCUAACAAUAUACAUGUUCAUGGUCACAGUCUAAAUUUUCUUUAUAAAUGAUAAAUGAUGAUAAUGCAUGUGAGAUGCUUUUAAAGUGUAAACAUAUUACUGCAAUUUCGAGGGGUUAUUUGUUUUUUUCUCAAUUUUGAAGGGUCAAUUAAAGUAGCUGAAAGUUUCAUUCUUUAUUUUCACAAAUAAUGCAACUAUAUUAUAUAUACCUUAAUGUAAGUAAAUCAUAUGAUAUAUAGGUGGCAUUCUUUGGGCCACUCUACCCCCUCCUGUUUGAUAACUUGGAAACGGUCGAGCUCCCCACCCCUAAACCAUAUGAGGGGCAGAUCCAGGAUUUUAGGUUAGGAGGGGCGCAAACUUAAAUUUUCGCUGAGCAGAGCGAGGCUAAAAAAAAUUGAGGUAAAAUUAUCGGAAUAUUCUUUAUUAAGCUGAGAACAACCCAUGCUUUGCAAAUUUAAGGGGGUGCAAGCCCGCAACCCUCCCCGUCUGAAUCCGCCCCUGCAUAUAUUCAAGUAUAGGACAAUAUGAUAAAUAAAAAAUUAAAUAUAGGGGGAGUCCCUAGGGUCACCCACCCCCAGUGGCGGAUCCAGAAAUUUUCAUAAGUGGGGCCCACUGACUGACCUAAGAGGGGCCCGCUCCAGUCACGCUUCAGUGAUUCCCUAUAUAAGCAACCAAUUUUUUCCCAAAAAAGGGGGGGCCGGGCCCCCUGCCCCCUAAAUCCUCUGCCUACCCCUACCUGUUUGAGAACUUGAAAACCGUUGAGAUCCCCACCCCUAAAUUAUAUAUAUUCAUAUGUAUGGGACAAAAUAACAAAUCAUUUACAUUUACUAUGGGCAAGUCAGUCAGACCUCACCUUUGAUCCCUGUUGUAGUGAACAUUUGUCUGAUUCGUGUCUCAUAACUUUUGUACUAUAGAACACAAACUCAGUUUUCUUUCCAGGGAAACCAGUUCAUUCAUACUAUUACAUGUUCAUACUAAGUCAAAUUGAACUUCUAGCAGUCAAAUAAAACCAAGGUUAACUACCAAGUAGAACAACUGCAAUCAUUGGGAACUUGUACCACUGCAGACUCACCA
Molecule: long non-coding RNA, 1499 nt
Filed under: Mytilus galloprovincialis (Mediterranean mussel)
Lineage: Eukaryota; Metazoa; Mollusca; Bivalvia; Mytilida; Mytilidae
Source: RNAcentral